AGAGUUUGAUCCUGGCUCAGAUUGAACGCUGGCGGCGUGCCUAACACAUGCAAGUCGAGCGGUAACAGGUGUAGCAAUACAUGCUGACGAGCGGCGAACGGGUGAGUAAUGCUUUGGAAUCUUCCCAGUAGUGGGGAAUAACCAGUCGAAAGAUUGGCUAAUACCGCAUACGUCUGUAAAGGGAAAGCGGGGGCUCGUAAGACCUCGCGCUAUUGGAUGAGCCAAAGUCGGAUUAGCUAGUUGGUGGGGUAAUGGCCUACCAAGGCGACAAUCCGUAGCUGGUCUGAGAGGACGACCAGCCACACCGGAACUGAGACACGGUCCGGACUCCUACGGGAGGCAGCAGUGGGGAAUAUUGGACAAUGGGGGAAACCCUGAUCCAGCGACGCCGCGUGUGUGAAGAAGGCCUGCGGGUUGUAAAGCACUUUU
Molecule: ribosomal RNA, 429 nt
Filed under: uncultured bacterium
Lineage: Bacteria
Description: bacterial SSU rRNA
Rfam family: Bacterial small subunit ribosomal RNA
Source: RNAcentral